Molecule: long non-coding RNA, 1607 nt
Filed under: Anas platyrhynchos platyrhynchos (common mallard)
Lineage: Eukaryota; Metazoa; Chordata; Aves; Anseriformes; Anatidae
Description: lncRNA (ENSAPLG00000027216.1)
Source: RNAcentral
AGGAAGGAAGGAAGGAAGGAAGGAAGGAAAGAAAAAGAGAGAGAAAGAGGAAGAAAGAGAGAAAGAAAGAGAGAAAGAGAGAAAGAGAAAGAGAGAAAGAAAGAGAGAAAGAGAGAAAGAAAGAGAGAAAGAAAGAGAGAAAGAGAGAAAAGCCCAAACUGCUUAAAAUGUUGGCUGAAGAAAAGAAACACAAACACAUGCACAAACACAUCUCUGAAGAACCAGGUUGUAUUUAAUUAUUAUAAAAAUUCAGGGUCUAAUUAAUAGGAAUACACCCUGCAUCAUUUCUAGACGUGGAGUCAACCAAUAAAAGCAAGGGGAAAAAAAAAAAAAAGGAGAGAAAAAGAAAACUGGAACUUAAUUGUCACCUGCCUGAACCUCUCCAAGUAGCUCACCCUGCAGGAGCCCUCCCUAGCAGCAGCCCAGCCUCAAAUUCCCACUUUCCGAGGGAAAAAAAAAAAGGCAGAUUUAAGUUUCUUCCAACCAGACAUCACAUUUUCCUUGAGGGGCCCUGAGAUCCUGCAUUCACGAGCAUCCUCCCCGAGGCGUGCUCACGCAGCAGCUCUCCCGUCGGAGAGCUAGUCUGGAGGGGUUGGAAAAGUCUAAUUUGGGACUGGCUGGGUAUAAAGAGGGCAGAAAUAAUCAAAAAUAAUCCUUCCUCACCUUCCCCCAUAGAACAAUACCGUUACAAGGAGCCCUGCUUACCAGGCUUUCUGCAGUGAGCUCGGGCAAGUCGUGGACCGUGCAGUGCGGAUAAUCCAGGACGGAGAUGCUGCGGAAGAUGGGAAAGGAGGGACUCGUUACGGAACAGGUCGGUGCAAGAGCAAUUUUUUAGGAUGAUCUAUGAGGCUACCGCCAGCAGCAUCCUCCUGGGCUCCCAGCACCACCGCUGCCUAACGGAGCACACCGAGCCCAUCCCGAGCCUGUCCCAAGCGUAUUAGUGAGGGCUCGGAGGAUUUGGAUCCACUAAUAUGUGGCAGAUCAGUUACUCAGAUGGACGCACACACAAAAAAAAAGAAAAAAGAAAAAAGGAAAAAGAAAAAAGGAAAAAAGGAAAAAAGAAAAAAGGAAAAAGAAAAAAGGAAAAAAGGAAAAAAGGAAAAAAGAAAAAAGAAAAAAGAAAAAAGAAAAAAGAAAAAAGAAAAAAGAAAAAAGAAAAAAGAAAAAAGAAAAAAGAAAAAAGAAAAAAGAAAAAAAAAACACAACUAAAACCAACAACAAAACAAACAAAAAACACAAAACCAAGCACAUACAAAAAGCAGAUCUUGGGUUAAAAUGCAGGUAUCUGGCAGAAUAUUUCCAGCAAGAAAAUGCACGGUAAGGGCAUCAGGUCUUUCCUGGCCUUCCAGGUUUAUUGCCUUUGUAAAAGUAGCCAACCAAAAGAUUUUAUAUAUUUUUAAUAUAAAUUAUAUAUUAGAUAUAGUUAUAAACUAUAUUAGAUUGUUUAUAUUUUAUAUAUAUUGAUAGUUUAUAUUAUAUAUACAUAUUUAUUUUGUUUGGCUAUGUAUAUUAUAUAUUAAAUAAUAUAUAUAUAUAAUAUAUAUAUAUAACAUAUAUACUACAUAUAUUAUAUAAAUGAUGUAUAUAAUAUACAAUAUAUAAUAUAU